UGACUAACAGUCAACUAUAGUCAAUAAUUGUAGUUCAAUGAGUAUAAACUAACACCAACAGAACACAAUUUUCAAAAAUUUUGUAUCCCACACAAGAAAAGAUAGUCCAGUCCCAUUCUUCAACAUGCAAAAGAAAUAAAUGCCCUCAUUUUCAUCAAAAAUUACCAAACACAACUUUGCAUACAAAACCAAACAGUUGAUGAAAUCUUAUAAAAAAAACUUCAUAAUCUUAAUCCUUGAUGGUUUUGCAUUAAAUAAAAGUCUUCUACUACUCUUUGUCAACAUUUGCAUCAACUACAACUCAUGUACUUGCCUUUUCUCUUUUCAUUAGCUCCAUAAAGUCAUCAAAUAUUGCAGUCACUCAUAUAUCAAGUUUCAGUUGUUCACACAAAUAAAGGAGCUAAAUGUAAGAAAUAGCAACCAACUUCCAUUAAUUUGGUUAUUGUAGCACCCUACUUUCAUUUCUUUUUAUUAUGUCAUCGUACUUCCAGUUUUUUUUUCUUAGUAUCUGAAGGGCAUUGUUAAUAACCAGGGAUUUUAAGUACAACCCUGUCAUAGGAAAAAAUGAAGUAGUAUGCCAUAAUAAACAAAGCAAUAAAAGUAGAAUGAUAUUUUUUUCAUUUUUUUUAAUGUUUGUUAAUCAACAAAGUUUGUGAAAGUUCAAAUCUGGUGAAUAUAAAAACAAAUAAAAUGCCAUUAAACAUAUAUAAUGAGGGCAUUUUGGUCUUUUUAAGAUUCCCAUAUCAUAUAGAGUAGAGAAGGCCAUUACCAACGAUAUCUCAUGUGCGUGACAUCUCUAGAAGUUCUUUUUAGCUAUGUGGAUACACAAAACAAUGAAAACGGUUAGAAGAAAUAAAGCAGAAUUAUAUAUGCAGAUCAAAGUAAUUUUUAGCUACAUUCAAAGUUAUAAUCAGCAAUUCAUUUUUAUCCCACAUAAAAGUAACUUUUAUGUUUUUCUUCAAUAAGAUGGAUGAAAACAAUGUGAUAAAGGAUGUUGAAGCACAAAUGUGCUAGUAACAUUUCGUAAAUGUUAUACAUUAGAAUGAAUUCCCAAAUAUAGAGCAAAUGAUGAGCUAAUUUCUUAAACAAAAUUAGAAAACUCUUAACACGACUUUCACUUGGGCAUUGUAUCAAACAAUUGGUGAGUAAAGUGGAAGUAGAAAGAAACAGUAAAUUACCAGCAUUGAAUCUCCAAGCAAAAGACCAUUAUGCACACGAUUUCGCAAUUGAACUGAUGAGGAGUCAUACAGGUUGUCUAAACUCAUUAAAACCCUACAUGCAAAAAAGAUGUAAGAUGAGAAAUGGGUUUGGGAAGAACAAUGUGAUAAAGGUCGCAAUUCAACUAAACCCUAGCAUACCUGAUUCAGUGGGUGGAGGUUUCACCAUUAAGGUCGUUGGAAUCAGAAGAAAAAGGGAAUAAGAAAAUGAUUGAAACCAGGGAGAUAAAAAGGAAUUAAUAUACUGAUUUUUGCUGAUAUGAUAUAUUACCUGUUUUGGGAGAUUUGGGUAUGAAUUAAGAAUGGAGAGGAGGAAACAUAGGCAAGAUUGAAGGUUCUUGUGAACAAUCUUCUUAAAUGUUUUAAAAUAGCAUGAUAUUCUCCUAAUUUAAUGCUAUUAAUUUAAAUGUUUGUUGCAAUGAUU
RNAcentral lists this long non-coding RNA (1641 nucleotides) under Lactuca sativa (garden lettuce). RNAcentral's name for it is "long non-coding RNA (LSAT_LNC003531)". The record is from RNAcentral. Lineage: Eukaryota; Viridiplantae; Streptophyta; Magnoliopsida; Asterales; Asteraceae.